AUUGAACGCUGGCGGCAUGCCUUACACAUGCAAGUCGAACGGCAGCACGGGAGCAAUCCUGGUGGCGAGUGGCGAACGGGUGAGUAAUGUAUCGGAACGUACCUUUCAGUGGGGGAUAACGUAGCGAAAGUUACGCUAAUACCGCAUAUUCUGUGAGCAGGAAAGCAGGGGAUCGCAAGACCUUGCGCUGAUUGAGCGGCCGAUAUCAGAUUAGCUAGUUGGUGAGGUAAAGGCUCACCAAGGCGACGAUCUGUAGCGGGUCUGAGAGGAUGAUUCCGCCACACUGGAACUGAGACACGGUCCAGACUCCUACGGGAGGCAGCAGUGGGGAAUUUUGGACAAUGGGCGCAAGCCUGAUCCAGCCAUGCCGCGUGAGUGAAGAAGGCCU
This 388-nucleotide ribosomal RNA is filed under the name uncultured bacterium. RNAcentral describes it as "bacterial SSU rRNA". It matches the Rfam family "Bacterial small subunit ribosomal RNA", at positions 30 to 417 of the family's 1533-position model. The record is from RNAcentral.